CGUCGAAGGUGGGGCUGAUGACUGGGGUGAAGUCGUAACAAGGUAUCCGUACCGGAAGGUGCGGAUGGAUCACCUCCUAACAGGGAGACAACACAAUGAUUUUGAUGCCUGAGUGCUUUUAUUCUUAGGCCGAAAUCCUGUCACCUUAGGUCGAUCGGUACCUCAGCUUUGAAGUUAAGGAUCAGCAGCAAUGUUGAUUGCUUGAUGGAGAUUUUCAGUUCCUAAACUUUGUCUAGGUCACACCCCAAAAGGGAUGAGACUCCUGGGCCAUUAGCUCAGGUGGUUAGAGCGCACCCCUGAUAAGGGUGAGGUCCCUGGUUCAAGUCCAGGAUGGCCCAUUCGGUGUUGGGGGUUUAGCUCAGUUGGUAGAGCGCCUGCUUUGCAAGCAGGAUGUCAGGAGUUCGAGUCUCCUAACCUCCACUGACCGAACUUGAUUCCCAUCUCCAAUUUUUUGGAGUUGAGCUCGAUUGGAGUGUGAUUUAGAUGUGUCCGCUGGAUGACCCCAGCUUCCUGUCAUUCCAAGUUUUAGGUUGAUGCCUUGAAUUUGGUUGAUAAGAUGCUGGGCUCGGAUCAAAUGAUCAAGCAAUUGAUGAUUUGAUUUGAAGUUCUAGCAGAACCUUGACAACUGCAUAGGUGAGUCUGGAAAAAACAAAGCAUCUUACAGAUGCAUUGUUUUGAAUCUGAUCUUCCGAAAGGGAGAUUGGAUCUAGAACAAUGAAAAUUCUUUUGAGCAAGAGCCGAGACUCUUGAACGUUCUUUGACUGGUGUCGAGCCAAUCAGAGUUUGAUCUUGUUUUUAGCAAUAAAAACUUGAGAAUCUGCUUUCAACGGCGGUAAGCGUUCAGGAGGUUAAUUGGUCAAGCUACAAAGGGC
Molecule: unclassified non-coding RNA, 872 nt
Filed under: uncultured Synechococcus sp.
Lineage: Bacteria; Bacillati; Cyanobacteriota; Cyanophyceae; Synechococcales; Synechococcaceae
Description: partial may contain 16S ribosomal RNA, 16S-23S ribosomal RNA intergenic spacer, and 23S ribosomal RNA
Rfam family: tRNA (bases 348-420)
Source: RNAcentral